This is a long non-coding RNA of Actinia tenebrosa (Australian red waratah sea anemone), 431 nucleotides long. RefSeq lists it as uncharacterized. The record is from RefSeq and is a predicted model, not a curated record. Lineage: Eukaryota; Metazoa; Cnidaria; Anthozoa; Actiniaria; Actiniidae.
CGUUGAGCAAAGACGUUGACUUGAGUUUGGCAAAUUUUUACCAUGUUUUAUCCUCUUUGCAAGGUCAUAAAGAAGACCAACAAGAUGACUUCGAUUGAGCCAUAUAGGUGAAGAAGAUGGUCAAGGGUUUUGCCUUUCCAUGUUAUACUACUGAACAUGAUAUCUGGAUGAGGUUCGUUAGGUACUGCGGGGCCGACGCGCCUGAAAUUUCAAUCCAAGCCGAUCGCAGGGUUUAAAAGUUUAUAAUAGCUUCAAAGCAAACAGCACAGGAUAACAAGCUACACCGUACCUAGGAAACUUGGAUUAACUACCACACGUCAUUUUUGGUGCCACAUGUUUACCAUGGCAACAGUGACGUCAACCAUUGYGAUGCUUUUCCUUGUGAAUAMUUCAAAGUGGCKUCAUUGUUAAUCACAGCAAYCAUUAAGUUG